RNAcentral lists this unclassified non-coding RNA (209 nucleotides) under plant metagenome. RNAcentral describes it as "partial contains small subunit ribosomal RNA, internal transcribed spacer 1, and 5.8S ribosomal RNA". The record is from RNAcentral.
UCUCCGUUGGUGAACCAGCGGAGGGAUCAUUACUGGAAUCGCAAGAUCCCACAACCCUGUGAACCUACCGAAACGUUGCCUCGGCGGGUGCCCGGCCUCCGCGCCGGGCGCUGCGCCCGCGGGCGGCCCCCUACUCUGUCUCUGCAGCGUGGCAUCUCAGAGUCCCAGAAAACAAGUCAAAACUUUCAACAACGGAUCUCUUGGCUCUA